GGAAUUGCUAGUAAUGGCAGGUCAGCAUACUGCCGUGAAUACGUUCCCGGGCCUUGUACACACCGCCCGUCACACCAUGAGAGUUGGGAAUACCCGAAGCCUGUGAGCUAACAUUAAGAGGCAGCAGUCGAAGGUAGAAUCAAUGAUUGGGGUGAAGUCGUAACAAGGUAGC
Molecule: ribosomal RNA, 172 nt
Filed under: uncultured bacterium
Lineage: Bacteria
Description: partial 16S ribosomal RNA
Rfam family: Bacterial small subunit ribosomal RNA
Source: RNAcentral